This 270-nucleotide ribosomal RNA is filed under the name uncultured archaeon. Its description in RNAcentral is "partial 16S ribosomal RNA". It matches the Rfam family "Archaeal small subunit ribosomal RNA", at positions 477 to 747 of the family's 1478-position model. The record is from RNAcentral.
CAGCACCUCAAGUGGUCAGGAUGAUUAUUGGGCCUAAAGCAUCCGUAGCCUGCUUUGUUAGUUUUCGGUUAAAUCCAUACGCUCAACGUAUGGGCUGCCGGGAAUACUGCAAAGCUAGGGAGUGGGAGAGGUAGACGGUACUCGGUAGGAAGGGGUAAAAUCCUUUGAUCUAUUGAUGACCACCUGUGGCAAAGGCGGUCUACCAGAACACGUCCGACGGUGAGGGAUGAAAGCUGGGGGAGCAAACCGGAUUAGAGACCCGAGUAGUCC